Long non-coding RNA from Eptesicus fuscus (big brown bat), 528 nucleotides. RefSeq lists it as uncharacterized. The record is from RefSeq and is a predicted model, not a curated record. NCBI's taxonomy places the organism in Eukaryota, Metazoa, Chordata, Mammalia, Chiroptera, Vespertilionidae. The transcript has 4 exons.
UUGGGCACAGUGUUCCUGAUGCUUUGAUGCCAGGCUCAGGGCCAGGCUCUUCACCUGAUUUUGUACAUGGGGCUCUUGGAGGAAGGAAACCACCACUACUGGGAGUGAACCAUGGUAGUGGAAGAAGUAUCCUCAGCAGCCUGUCCAGGGACUGGGAGGAUGUCCUCUGAGCCCCCUGGACCACAGCACUGGCUGGUGGACUAUGCUAAGAACAGGCCCAAGAGUGAAAAUUUUCUGUCAACUAAAACUUUCAAAGCAUUAGUUCCUUCAGGUCCUCUACUACGUCAAGUAUACCACAAUAGAGCAAUCUAACUGGAGUGAAAGUUUCAUGUAUGCGAGAAGUAGAAAAGCAUCUGGAGAAUUUGAUUUCAAGACUUAGAUUGGAGACCCACCUACUUAAAUCAACAGGUGAAAUAAACAUGAAGCAAAAAUUGCCAUCAGAAUUGCUGUGUGGGCAGAAGAAGAGGCAACCAGGAGCGCUCUCCAGGCACCCUUGUGAGAUUUACAAGGGCUUCUUGUGGAAAACCU